This 421-nucleotide ribosomal RNA is filed under the name uncultured bacterium. RNAcentral's name for it is "partial 16S ribosomal RNA". It matches the Rfam family "Bacterial small subunit ribosomal RNA", at positions 360 to 773 of the family's 1533-position model. The record is from RNAcentral.
AAUCUUGGACAAUGGGGGCAACCCUGAUCCAGCCUUGCCGCUAGUGUGCAGAAGGUCUUCGGUUUGUAAAGCACUUUACGUUGGGAGGAAUGGCUUCAGGUUAAUACCCUGACGAUUUCACGUUACCAACAGAAUAAGCACCGGCUAACUCUGUUCCUGCAGCCGCGGUAAUACAGAGGGUGCAAGCGUUAAUCGGAAUUACUGUGCGUAAAGCGCGCAUAGGUGGUUCAGUAAGAUGGGUGUGAAAUCCCCGGGCUUAACCUGGGAACUGCUUUCAUAACUGCUGAGCUAGAGUACGGUAGAGGGUAGUGGAAUUUCCUGUGUAGCGGUGAAAUGCGUAGAUAUAGGAAGGAACACCAGUGGCGAAGGCGACUACCUGGACUGAUACUGACACUGAGGUGCGAAAGCGUGGGGAGCAAAC